Molecule: ribosomal RNA, 556 nt
Filed under: uncultured bacterium
Lineage: Bacteria
Description: partial 16S ribosomal RNA
Rfam family: Bacterial small subunit ribosomal RNA
Source: RNAcentral
UGGGGAAUAUUGGACAAUGGGCGAAAGCCUGAUCCAGCCAUGCCGCGUGUGUGAAGAAGGUCUUCGGAUUGUAAAGCACUUUAAGUUGGGAGGAAGGGCAGUAAGCUAAUACCUUGCUGUUUUGACGUUACCGACAGAAUAAGCACCGGCUAACUUCGUGCCAGCAGCCGCGGUAAUACGAAGGGUGCAAGCGUUAAUCGGAAUUACUGGGCGUAAAGCGCGCGUAGGUGGUUUGAUAAGUUGGAUGUGAAAGCCCCGGGCUCAACCUGGGAAUUGCAUCCAAAACUGUCUGACUAGAGUAUGGCAGAGGGUGGUGGAAUUUCCUGUGUAGCGGUGAAAUGCGUAGAUAUAGGAAGGAACACCAGUGGCGAAGGCGACCACCUGGGGCUAAAUUACUGACACUGAGGUGCGAAAAGCGUGGGGAGCAAAACAAGGAUUAGAUACCCUGGUAGUCCACGCCGUAAAACGAUGUCGACUAGCCGUUGGGGAUCCUUGAGAUCUUAGUGGCGCAGCUAACGCAUUAAGUCGACCGCCUGGGGAGUACGGCCGCAAGGUU